CAACUUUAAGGUUGCAAACCCAAGUGCAGGUUGUCGCAAGUAGUAAUCUCGGAAGUCCGAGGUCGAACCACAGGGAAUUGGAAGGAAAUAAACUAUUCUAUGAGUAAUAAAUGGUUGGCGGAAAUACGAUUAACACGAACACUAGAGCGUCGGGGAUUCACUUCGGAUAAAUGAGUAGAAAUUGCACUUGAUCUUUAAUUUAACUCAUAUAAAAAUCAACUAAGGAGUGAUCUCAUAUGGAAGAUAAAACAUUAACCACAAAUAUACUAAAAGAUAGAUCUUGAUAAUUGUUUGAGAGAAUAUGUCAAAAUAAGUUGUUGGUAUGUAGAGAUUAUCUAAGCAUUUAUUGUGCCAAAAUUGUCAACAAUAAAUCAAAGUCUUUAACAAACCAAAACCAUUUGUAGAACA
Molecule: long non-coding RNA, 408 nt
Filed under: Olea europaea subsp. europaea
Lineage: Eukaryota; Viridiplantae; Streptophyta; Magnoliopsida; Lamiales; Oleaceae
Source: RNAcentral